RNAcentral lists this ribosomal RNA (253 nucleotides) under uncultured bacterium. Its description in RNAcentral is "partial 16S ribosomal RNA". It matches the Rfam family "Bacterial small subunit ribosomal RNA", at positions 524 to 776 of the family's 1533-position model. The record is from RNAcentral.
CACGUAGGGCGCAAGCGUUGUCCGGAUUUACUGGGCGUAAAGAGCGCGCAGGCGGUCGUUCAAGUCGCGUGUGAAAGCCCCCGGCUCAACUGGGGAGGGUCACGCGAUACUGAUCGACUCGAAGGCAGGAGAGGGUAGUGGAAUUCCCGGUGUAGUGGUGAAAUGCGUAGAUAUUCGGAAGAACACCAGUGGCGAAGGCGACUGACUGGACAUGUAUUGACGCUGAGGUGCGAAAGCGUGGGGAGCAAACAGG